CCUACCUAUUGCAUAACCUAUAUCAGGAUGGAUUCUAUUUGCUACAUAUAAUAGUGAUCCUAUCCUCUGAGAAUACUUUAACUAUCUUACAGGUUCUCCUAAAUUCUUAGUUAAAUGUGAACUAUGAUCAUAUGGGAUAGAGACAAGAUUUAGAUCAAAAUAUUCAAACUUUUAAAGUAUUUUUUCUAUUGAAUGUGUUAGGUUUAUGGCUAUUUCGUUAUUUAUUCUUUUAAGUUUUAUUUUU
This 244-nucleotide long non-coding RNA is filed under the name Elaeis guineensis (African oil palm). Its description in RNAcentral is "long non-coding RNA (EGUI_LNC021609)". Lineage: Eukaryota; Viridiplantae; Streptophyta; Magnoliopsida; Arecales; Arecaceae. The record is from RNAcentral.